UACGUAGGGCGCAAGCGUUGUCCGGAUUUAUUGGGCGUAAAGAGCGUGUAGGCGGCCAUACAGGUCAGCUGUGAAAACUCGAGGCUCAACCUCGAGACGUCGGUUGAAACCGUAUGGCUAGAGUCCGGAAGAGGAGAGUGGAAUUCCCGGUGUAGCGGUGAAAUGCGCAGAUAUCAGGAAGAACACCCGUGGCUAAGGCGGCUCUCUAGUACGGUACUGACGCUGAGACGCGAAAGCGUGGGGAGCGAACAGG
This 253-nucleotide ribosomal RNA is filed under the name uncultured bacterium. RNAcentral's name for it is "partial 16S ribosomal RNA". It matches the Rfam family "Bacterial small subunit ribosomal RNA", at positions 524 to 776 of the family's 1533-position model. The record is from RNAcentral.